ACAUGCCUACAACAUAGUGUUAAUGCACUAGAUCCCAUUAGAAAUCCACAGUUAAGCACACCCAGAAUAGAGUAGUACUGGGAUGGGUGACCGCCCGGGAAGUACUAGUGUUUUACAUGCC
Picea glauca (white spruce) is the source of this 121-nucleotide non-coding RNA. The record is from Rfam. Lineage: Eukaryota; Viridiplantae; Streptophyta; Pinopsida; Pinales; Pinaceae.